Small nucleolar RNA from Coffea eugenioides, 85 nucleotides. The record is from RefSeq and is a predicted model, not a curated record. NCBI's taxonomy places the organism in Eukaryota, Viridiplantae, Streptophyta, Magnoliopsida, Gentianales, Rubiaceae.
GGGCAGAUGAUGAACAAAACUUUGUAUUUUGGGCUGACUUAAAUGGAUGAUGCUCCAAAUUCGAGCUUUUUAAAACUGAUGCCUC